Molecule: ribosomal RNA, 111 nt
Filed under: uncultured bacterium
Lineage: Bacteria
Description: partial 16S ribosomal RNA
Rfam family: Bacterial small subunit ribosomal RNA
Source: RNAcentral
CCCGGGUCUUGUACACACCGCCCGUCACACCAUGGGAGUGGGUUUCACCAGAAGUAGGUAGCUUAACCUUCGGGGGGGGCGCUUACCACGGUGAGAUUCAUGACUGGGGUG